GCAAGCAAUGCAGGUGUAGAAGCACGGUUGAAAUGUUUACAAAUUAGAUGCGCUGAAAUGAAAGCAACUUUCGAAAAUGAACACUGAUUAUAAUCAUAUUAUGUUUGAUCUCGCAAACAAUGUAAAGUAUGUUUAGAUAGGUGUAAUCUAGAGCCGGUCGUUUUGAUUUUUAAUCCGAGGGUAUCCUGCUAUUGACACCCUAGUUGCAAGAGAAGGUGACAACAUCAGUCAUUAAUGAGGCAGUCUAGGCAAUGCAGAGGUGCGUUCAGUUCAAUGGUUUGUACUGAAUGACACGUUUCCCCAAAACGUUCUUGUACAUUCUUGAACAGACUUUGAGGUACGUUUUCUCCCGUUUGGUGGGUGUGGUGAGGUGUGGCUUGAAGCAAUGCAAGUGACGUAUUUAAAGGGCAGUUGCCAUGCUGACAGUGUUCCCCUACCCACAACCCAACGCCUCCCUGUUUUUCAACAGGUCAUUAAGUACAGCACCAUUUCUGUUCAAUUUAACGUUUGAGAAUGUAAAAACGUACUGGUCACAUUUCAACAUUUCAACUGUCCAGAACAUAAAAACAUUCCGUUUGAUUGAACCUUUGCUACGUUGCAGAACAAUUUGUACUGAACGACACAUUUCCCCAAAACGUUCUUGAACAGACUUUGAGGAAUGUUUGCUUACGUUUGGUGGGCGUGGCGCGGUGUGGCUUGAAGCAAUGCAAGUGACGUAUUUAAAGGGCAGUGGCCAUGCUGACAGCAUUCCCCAACCUACAACCAACCCACCUUGUUUUUCAACUGGUUGUUCAGCACAGCACCAUUUCCGUUCAAUUCAACGUUACAGAACGUAAAAACGUACAGAAUGCAGCCCUGAUGAGUGCAGGUAGGGUAGACAGAGCAGGUGAGUGCAGGUAGGAUAGACAGCCUUGAUGAGUGCAGGUAGGGUAGACAGCCCUGGUGAGUGCAGGUAGGGUAGACAGCCCUGAUGAGUGCAGGUAGGAUAGACAGCCCUGAUGAGUGCAGGUAGGGUAGACAGAGCAGGUGAUUGCAG
Non-coding RNA from Salvelinus sp. IW2-2015, 1036 nucleotides. The record is from RefSeq and is a predicted model, not a curated record. NCBI's taxonomy places the organism in Eukaryota, Metazoa, Chordata, Actinopteri, Salmoniformes, Salmonidae.